ACCGAUUGAAUGGCUCAGUGAGGCCUUCGGACUGGCUCAGGGAGGUUGGCAACGACCACCCCGAGCCGGAAAGUUCGUCAAACUCGGUCAUUUAGAGGAAGUAAAAGUCGUAACAAGGUUUCCGUAGGUGAACCUGCGGAAGGAUCAUUACCGUGGGGAUUCGUCCCCAUUGAGAUAGCACCCUUUGUUCAUGAGUACCCUUGUUUCCUCGGCGGGCUUGCCCGCCAGUAGGACAAUAUCAAAACCCUUUUGCAGUAGCAGUAACUUCAGUUAACAAACAAAUAUUAAAACUUUCAACAACGGAUCUCUUGGUUCUGGCAUCGAUGAAGAACGCAGCGAAAUGCGAUAAGUAGUGUGAAUUGCAGAAUUCAGUGAAUCAUCGAAUCUUUGAACGCACAUUGCGCCCUUCGGUAUUCCGUUGGGCAUGCCUGUUCGAGCGUCAUUUAAACCUUCAAGCUAUGCUUGGUGUUGGGUGUUUGUCCCGCCUCAGCGCGUGGACUCGCCUCAAAUCCAUUGGCAGCCGGUAUGUUGGCUUCGUGCGCAGCACAUUGCAAGCGGAACUCAGCAGACCUCCUUCCCACAAGCCCUUCUUUUACUUUGACCUCGGAUCAGGUAGGGAUACCCGCUGAACUUAAGCAUAUCAAUAAGCGGAGGAAAAGAAACCAACAGGGAUUGCCUCAGUAACGGCGAGUGAAGCGGCAAUAGCUCAAAUUUGAAAUCUGGCUCUUUCAGGGUCCGAGUUGUAAUUUGCAGAGGGCGCUUUGGAGUCGGCAGCAGCCUAAGUUCCUUGGAACAGGUCAUCAUAGAGGGUGAGAAUCCCGUAUGUGGCUGCUUGCCUUCGCCGUGUAAAGCCCCUUCGAUGAGUCGAGUUGUUUGGGAAUGCAGCUCUAAAUGGGAGGUAAAUUUCUUCUAAAGCUAAAUAUUGGCCAGAGACCGAUAGCGCACAAGUAGAGUGAUCGAAAGAUGAAAAGCACUUUGGAAAGAGAGUCAAAAAGCACGUGAAAUUGUUGAAAGGGAAGCGCUUGCAGCCAGACGUGCCCGUAGUUGCUCAUCUGGGGUUCUCCCCAGUGCACUCUUCUAUGGGCAGGCCAGCAUCAGUCCGGGCGGUUGGAGAAAGACCUGUGUCACGUAGCUCUCUUCGGGGAGUGUUAUAGGGCAGGUGGAAUGCAACCAGCCUGGACUGAGGUCCGCGCAUCUGCUAGGAUGCUGGCGUAAUGGCUGUAAGCGGCCCGUCUUGAAACACGGACCAAGGAGUCUAACAUCUAUGCGAGUGUUUGGGUGUCAAGCCCGAGCGCGUAAUGAAAGUGAACGGAGGUGGGAACCCCUCGGGGUGCACCAUCGACCGAUCCUGAUGUCUUCGGAUGGAUUUGAGUAAGAGCAUAGCUGUUGGGACCCGAAAGAUGGUGAACUAUGCCUGAAUAGGGUGAAGCCAGAGGAAACUCUGGUGGAGGCUCGCAGCGGUUCUGACGUGCAAAUCGAUCGUCAAAUUUGGGCAUAGGGGCGAAAGACUAAUCGA
RNAcentral lists this ribosomal RNA (1516 nucleotides) under Petrakia echinata. RNAcentral's name for it is "eukaryotic LSU rRNA". The stretch from base 599 to 1516 matches the Rfam family "Eukaryotic large subunit ribosomal RNA", at positions 1 to 938 of the family's 3401-position model. The record is from RNAcentral. Lineage: Eukaryota; Fungi; Ascomycota; Dothideomycetes; Pleosporales; Melanommataceae.